GACGAACGCUGGCGGCGUGCCUAAUACAUGCAAGUCGAACGCUUCUUUUUCCACCGGAGCUUGCUCCACCGGAAAAAGAGGAGUGGCGAACGGGUGAGUAACACGUGGGUAACCUGCCCAUCAGAAGGGGAUAACACUUGGAAACAGGUGCUAAUACCGUAUAACAAUCAAAACCGCAUGGUUUUGAUUUGAAAGGCGCUUUCGGGUGUCGCUGAUGGAUGGACCCGCGGUGCAUUAGCUAGUUGGUGAGGUAACGGCUCACCAAGGCCACGAUGCAUAGCCGACCUGAGAGGGUGAUCGGCCACAUUGGGACUGAGACACGGCCCAAACUCCUACGGGAGGCAGCAGUAGGGAAUCUUCGGCAAUGGGCGAAAGCCUGACCGAGCAACGCCGCGUGAAUGAUGAAGGCCUUCGGGUUGUAAAAUUCUGUUAUAAGGGAAGAACGACUUUAGUAGGAAAUGGCUGGAGUGUGACGGUACCUUAUGAGAAAGCCACGGCUAACUACGUGCCAGCAGCCGCCGUAA
RNAcentral lists this ribosomal RNA (524 nucleotides) under uncultured bacterium. Its description in RNAcentral is "partial 16S ribosomal RNA". It matches the Rfam family "Bacterial small subunit ribosomal RNA", at positions 28 to 523 of the family's 1533-position model. The record is from RNAcentral.